ACAAGAGACAUGGUGAAGAAGUUUAAUCUCCCCUCAGGCAACAGACUGAUGGAGCUCUUGAAGAGACAUGAGCAAUGUGAUCUCCUCAACAUUUACCACAAGAAUGGGAGGGAGGGCUCCCAUUGCUCACAAAGUACUGCAUAGAGCGGCUAAUGGUGAUGCUCUCACCAUCCGAAGGUCUUGGGUGAUGUUAUCACUUGCAACAACUUUAUGUCCGGGCACCGGCAAUAUGGUCCCCCUGGAGUGCCUAAAAAGCCUGAUAGAGAUGGACAAGGUUGCUGAGUUUGCCUGGGAUGAGCACAUUCUAAACUUUGCGAUGAAAGAAGUAAAGAAUUGCAAGGACAAGGCAGAGUUGCAGCCUUCCUCUCCAUUCUUGGUUGGCGGAUGCUUCCCUAUGCGAGCGGUUGUAUAUGUGGAUCUGAUUUUCCCUCCCCCCUGGCAUAGAUGAGCAUAAAUUGAACCUCUCUCUGCCGAGAGCUUGCUUUGUGUGCGAUAAGGAUUUUGCUCUUGUGUUGGUAUACAACAAGAACAAGCUUUGCUUGGGCAAAGCCUCAUUCGGGAUGCGGCCUCUCCUCCUUUUGUCAGACACACCAUACGCAACAUUGAAUUCCCAAGGUGGUGGUCCUGCUGGAAACAACUGUCGAAGAUACAGCGAGGGCUGAUGCAGAAA
Long non-coding RNA from Triticum dicoccoides, 670 nucleotides. RefSeq lists it as uncharacterized. The record is from RefSeq and is a predicted model, not a curated record. Lineage: Eukaryota; Viridiplantae; Streptophyta; Magnoliopsida; Poales; Poaceae. The transcript has 3 exons.